GUGAAUCAUCAAAUUUUUGAACGCAAAUUGCACUCUCUUCGGAGAGGAUGCGUGUUUGAGGGUCAGUAUUAAUAAAAAUAGGUGUGUUGCUUCUUUGUGACGCUCCGGAGUUUGGGUCAUCUUAAUAUUCGUUGGGUUUUAAGAGGCUUAAAAUUGACUUUUUUUGGGUGUUUCGGGUGAAAAUAAUUUUUUUUUUUAAUUCGUCUGUGUUAAUGUCAAAAUUCCUAGUAGAUGAGACUAU
This 241-nucleotide unclassified non-coding RNA is filed under the name Rhizophagus sp. (in: glomeromycetes). RNAcentral's name for it is "partial contains 5.8S ribosomal RNA and internal transcribed spacer 2". The stretch from base 1 to 65 matches the Rfam family "5.8S ribosomal RNA", at positions 84 to 154 of the family's 154-position model. The record is from RNAcentral. Lineage: Eukaryota; Fungi; Glomeromycota; Glomeromycetes; Glomerales; Glomeraceae.